Molecule: ribosomal RNA, 505 nt
Filed under: uncultured bacterium
Lineage: Bacteria
Description: partial 16S ribosomal RNA
Rfam family: Bacterial small subunit ribosomal RNA
Source: RNAcentral
GACGAACGCUGGCGGCGUGCCUAAUACAUGCAAGUAGAACGCACAGUUUAUACCGUAGCUUGCUACACCAUAGACUGUGAGUUGCGAACGGGUGAGUAACGCGUAGGUAACCUGCCUGGUAGCGGGGGAUAACUAUUGGAAACGAUAGCUAAUACCGCAUAAUAUUGAUUAUUGCAUGAUAAUUGAUUGAAAGAUGCUAUUGCAUCACUACCAGAUGGACCUGCGUUGUAUUAGCUAGUAGGUGAGGUAACGGCUCACCUAGGCGACGAUACAUAGCCGACCUGAGAGGGUGAUCGGCCACACUGGGACUGAGACACGGCCCAGACUCCUACGGGAGGCAGCAGUAGGGAAUCUUCGGCAAUGGACGAAAGUCCGACCGAGCAACGCCGCGUGAGUGAAGAAGGUUUUCGGAUCGUAAAGCUCUGUUGUAAGAGAAAAACGGGUGUGAGAGUGGAAAGUUCACACUGUGACGGUAUCUUACCAGAAAGGGACGGCUAACUACGUG